AACUGAUACUACCUGCGGGAACCUGCGGAGGGAUCAUUAUUGAAUAAAAUUUAGUUAGGUUGUUGCUGGCUUUUAGGAGCAUGUGCACGCCUGGCGCCAUUUUAUUAUCUCCUGUGCACUAUUUGUAGAUCUUGAACUAUUUCUCGGGGUGAUUAACUUCGGAUUGAGGAAAAUGGUAUUUUCCUUGAGUUCUAGGUCUAUGUUUAUUAUCAUACUCAUUGAAUGUCAUUGAAUGUUAAU
RNAcentral lists this unclassified non-coding RNA (240 nucleotides) under soil metagenome. RNAcentral's name for it is "partial contains 5.8S ribosomal RNA, internal transcribed spacer 2, and large subunit ribosomal RNA". The record is from RNAcentral.